GGGUUGUGAGGUUAAGCGACUAAGCGUACACGGUGGAUGCCCUGGCAGUCAGAGGCGAUGAAGGACGUGCUAAUCUGCGAUAAGCGUCGGUGAGGUGAUAUGAACCGUUAUAACCGGCGAUUUCCGAAUGGGGAAACCCAGUGUGUUUCGACACACUAUCAUUAACUGAAUCCAUAGGUUAAUGAGGCGAACCGGGGGAACUGAAACAUCUAAGUACCCCGAGGAAAAGAAAUCAACCGAGAUUCCCCCAGUAGCGGCGAGCGAACGGGGAGGAGCCCAGAGUCUGAAUCAGUGUGUGUGUUAGUGGAAGCGUCUGGAAAGGCGUGCGAUACAGGGUGACAGCCCCGUACACAAAAAUGCACAUAUUGUGAGCUCGAUGAGUAGGGCGGGACACGUGGUAUCCUGUCUGAAUAUGGGGGGACCAUCCUCCAAGGCUAAAUACUCCUGACUGACCGAUAGUGAACCAGUACCGUGAGGGAAAGGCGAAAAGAACCCCGGCGAGGGGAGUGAAAAAGAACCUGAAACCGUGUACGUACAAGCAGUGGGAGCCUCUUAAUGGGGUGACUGCGUACCUUUUGUAUAAUGGGUCAGCGACUUAUAUUCUGUAGCAAGGUUAACCGAAUAGGGGAGCCGAAGGGAAACCGAGUCUUAACUGGGCGUUAAGUUGCAGGGUAUAGACCCGAAACCCGGUGAUCUAGCCAUGGGCAGGUUGAAGGUUGGGUAACACUAACUGGAGGACCGAACCGACUAAUGUUGAAAAAUUAGCGGAUGACUUGUGGCUGGGGGUGAAAGGCCAAUCAAACCGGGAGAUAGCUGGUUCUCCCCGAAAGCUAUUUAGGUAGCGCCUCGUGAAUUCAUCUCCGGGGGUAGAGCACUGUUUCGGCAAGGGGGUCAUCCCGACUUACCAACCCGAUGCAAACUGCGAAUACCGGAGAAUGUUAUCACGGGAGACACACGGCGGGUGCUAACGUCCGUCGUGAAGAGGGAAACAACCCAGACCGCCAGCUAAGGUCCCAAAGUCAUGGUUAAGUGGGAAACGAUGUGGGAAGGCCCAGACAGCCAGGAUGUUGGCUUAGAAGCAGCCAUCAUUUAAAGAAAGCGUAAUAGCUCACUGGUCGAGUCGGCCUGCGCGGAAGAUGUAACGGGGCUAAACCAUGCACCGAAGCUGCGGCAGCGACACUAUGUGUUGUUGGGUAGGGGAGCGUUCUGUAAGCCUGUGAAGGUGGCCUGUGAGGGUUGCUGGAGGUAUCAGAAGUGCGAAUGCUGACAUAAGUAACGAUAAAGCGGGUGAAAAGCCCGCUCGCCGGAAGACCAAGGGUUCCUGUCCAACGUUAAUCGGGGCAGGGUGAGUCGACCCCUAAGGCGAGGCCGAAAGGCGUAGUCGAUGGGAAACAGGUUAAUAUUCCUGUACUUGGUGUUACUGCGAAGGGGGGACGGAGAAGGCUAUGUUGGCCGGGCGACGGUUGUCCCGGUUUAAGCGUGUAGGCUGGUUUUCCAGGCAAAUCCGGAAAACCAAGGCUGAGGCGUGAUGACGAAGCACUACGGUGCUGAAGCGACAAAUGCCCUGCUUCCAGGAAAAGCCUCUAAGCAUCAGGUAACAUCAAAUCGUACCCCAAACCGACACAGGUGGUCAGGUAGAGAAUACCAAGGCGCUUGAGAGAACUCGGGUGAAGGAACUAGGCAAAAUGGUGCCGUAACUUCGGGAGAAGGCACGCUGAUAUGUAGGUGAAGCGACUUGCUCGUGGAGCUGAAAUCAGUCGAAGAUACCAGCUGGCUGCAACUGUUUAUUAAAAACACAGCACUGUGCAAACACGAAAGUGGACGUAUACGGUGUGACGCCUGCCCGGUGCCGGAAGGUUAAUUGAUGGGGUUAGCGGUAACGCGAAGCUCUUGAUCGAAGCCCCGGUAAACGGCGGCCGUAACUAUAACGGUCCUAAGGUAGCGAAAUUCCUUGUCGGGUAAGUUCCGACCUGCACGAAUGGCGUAAUGAUGGCCAGGCUGUCUCCACCCGAGACUCAGUGAAAUUGAACUCGCUGUGAAGAUGCAGUGUACCCGCGGCAAGACGGAAAGACCCCGUGAACCUUUACUAUAGCUUGACACUGAACAUUGAGCCUUGAUGUGUAGGAUAGGUGGGAGGCUUUGAAGUGUGGACGCCAGUCUGCAUGGAGCCGACCUUGAAAUACCACCCUUUAAUGUUUGAUGUUCUAACGUUGGCCCGUAAUCCGGGUUGCGGACAGUGUCUGGUGGGUAGUUUGACUGGGGCGGUCUCCUCCUAAAGAGUAACGGAGGAGCACGAAGGUUGGCUAAUCCUGGUCGGACAUCAGGAGGUUAGUGCAAUGGCAUAAGCCAGCUUGACUGCGAGCGUGACGGCGCGAGCAGGUGCGAAAGCAGGUCAUAGUGAUCCGGUGGUUCUGAAUGGAAGGGCCAUCGCUCAACGGAUAAAAGGUACUCCGGGGAUAACAGGCUGAUACCGCCCAAGAGUUCAUAUCGACGGCGGUGUUUGGCACCUCGAUGUCGGCUCAUCACAUCCUGGGGCUGAAGUAGGUCCCAAGGGUAUGGCUGUUCGCCAUUUAAAGUGGUACGCGAGCUGGGUUUAGAACGUCGUGAGACAGUUCGGUCCCUAUCUGCCGUGGGCGCUGGAGAACUGAGGGGGGCUGCUCCUAGUACGAGAGGACCGGAGUGGACGCAUCACUGGUGUUCGGGUUGUCAUGCCAAUGGCACUGCCCGGUAGCUAAAUGCGGAAGAGAUAAGUGCUGAAAGCAUCUAAGCACGAAACUUGCCCCGAGAUGAGUUCUCCCUGAGACUUAGAGUCUCCUGAAGGAACGUUGAAGACGACGACGUUGAUAGGCCGGGUGUGUAAGCGCAGCGAUGCGUUGAGCUAACCGGUACUAAUGAACCGUGAGGCUUAACCUUACAACGCCGAAG
Molecule: ribosomal RNA, 2925 nt
Filed under: Escherichia coli
Lineage: Bacteria; Pseudomonadati; Pseudomonadota; Gammaproteobacteria; Enterobacterales; Enterobacteriaceae
Description: bacterial LSU rRNA
Rfam family: Bacterial large subunit ribosomal RNA
Source: RNAcentral